Molecule: ribosomal RNA, 497 nt
Filed under: uncultured bacterium
Lineage: Bacteria
Description: partial 16S ribosomal RNA
Rfam family: Bacterial small subunit ribosomal RNA
Source: RNAcentral
GACGAACGCUGGCGGCGUGCCUAAUACAUGCAAGUUGAGCGAUGAAGAUUGGUGCUUGCACCAAUUUGAAGAGCAGCGAACGGGUGAGUAACGCGUGGGGAAUCUGCCUUUGAGCGGGGGACAACAUUUGGAAACGAAUGCUAAUACCGCAUAAUAACUUUAAACAUAAGUUUUAAGUUUGAAAGAUGCAAUUGCAUCACUCAAAGAUGAUCCCGCGUUGUAUUAGCUAGUUGGUGAGGUAAAGGCUCACCAAGGCGAUGAUACAUAGCCGACCUGAGAGGGUGCUCGGCCACAUUGGGACUGAGACACGGCCCAAACUCCUACGGGAGGCAGCAGUAGGGAAUCUUCGGCAAUGGACGCAAGUCUGACCGAGCAACGCCGCGUGAGUGAAGAAGGUUUUCGGAUCGUAAAACUCUGUUGGUAGAGAAGAACGUUGGUGAGAGUGGAAAGCUCAUCAAGUGACGGUAACUACCCAGAAAGGGACGGCUAACUACGUG